RNAcentral lists this ribosomal RNA (323 nucleotides) under uncultured eukaryote. RNAcentral describes it as "partial 18S ribosomal RNA". It matches the Rfam family "Eukaryotic small subunit ribosomal RNA", at positions 1470 to 1796 of the family's 1831-position model. The record is from RNAcentral.
CCCUUAGAUGUUCUGGGCGGCCCGCGCACUACAAUGGCGUGUGCAGCGAGUGCCGAAGUAGAGUUUUCCGAGGUAUUCUUGCAAUGCUCGUUUUGAUGGGGAUAGACCCUUGCAACUGUUGGUUUUGAACGAGGAAUUCCUUGUAAGCAUGGUUUAUCAUCCGACGCUGAAUGCGUCCCUGCCCUUUGUACACACCGCCCGUCGCUCCUACCGAUUGAGUGGUCCGGUGAGGCUUUGGGAUCUGAGCGGAAAGAGCGUUUCGCUGUUUCUGCUCGGAAAACUCAGUCGAACCUUAUCAUUUAGAGGAAGGAGAAGUCGUAACA